GACGAACGCUGGCGGCGUGCUUAACACAUGCAAGUCGAACGGAAAGGCCCUGCUUUUGUGGGGUGCUCGAGUGGCGAACGGGUGAGUAACACGUGAGUAACCUGCCCUUGACUUUGGGAUAACUUCAGGAAACUGGGGCUAAUACCGGAUAGGAGCUCCUGCUGCAUGGUGGGGGUUGGAAAGUUUCGGCGGUUGGGGAUGGACUCGCGGCUUAUCAGCUUGUUGGUGGGGUAGUGGCUUACCAAGGCUUUGACGGGUAGCCGGCCUGAGAGGGUGACCGGCCACAGGGGGAUGGAGAGAGGCCCAGGACCCCUACGGGGGGCAAGGGGGGGAAAUGUUACAAAGGGGGGGGAGGCGGGAGGAGAAAGCGCGGGGUGGGGGAGGGGGGCUUUGGGGUUGAAAACCGGUUUCCCGUGAGAAGAAGGGGGGGUGAGGGAAAUGUAUAAAGAAGCACCGGCUAACUACGUG
This 468-nucleotide ribosomal RNA is filed under the name uncultured bacterium. Its description in RNAcentral is "partial 16S ribosomal RNA". It matches the Rfam family "Bacterial small subunit ribosomal RNA", at positions 28 to 507 of the family's 1533-position model. The record is from RNAcentral.